AGUGAACGCUGGCGGUAGGCCUAACACAUGCAAGUCGAACGGCAGCACAGGAGAGCUUGCUCUCUGGGUGGCGAGUGGCGGACGGGUGAGGAAUACAUCGGAAUCUACUCUGUCGUGGGGGAUAACGUAGGGAAACUUACGCUAAUACCGCAUACGACCUACGGGUGAAAGCAGGGGAUCUUCGGACCUUGCGCGAUUGAAUGAGCCGAUGUCGGAUUAGCUAGUUGGCGGGGUAAAGGCCCACCAAGGCGACGAUCCGUAGCUGGUCUGAGAGGAUGAUCAGCCACACUGGAACUGAGACACGGUCCAGACUCCUACGGGAGGCAGCAGUGGGGAAUAUUGGACAACGGGCGCAAGCCUGAUCCAGCCAUACCGCGUGGGUGAAGAAGGCCUCCGGGUUGUAAAGCCCUUUUGUUGGGAAAGAAAUCCAGCUGGCUAAUACCCGGUUGGGAUGACGGUACCCAAAGAAUAAGCACCGGCUAACUUCGUGCCAGCAGCCGCAGUAA
RNAcentral lists this ribosomal RNA (506 nucleotides) under uncultured bacterium. Its description in RNAcentral is "partial 16S ribosomal RNA". It matches the Rfam family "Bacterial small subunit ribosomal RNA", at positions 29 to 523 of the family's 1533-position model. The record is from RNAcentral.